CCUACGGUGGGCAGCAGUAGGGAAUCUUCCACAAUGGGCGAAAGCCUGAUGGAGCAACGCCGCGUGGGUGAAGAAGGUCUUCGGAUCGUAAAACCCUGUUGUUAGAGAAGAAAGUGCGUGAGAGUAACUGUUCACGUUUCGACGGUAUCUAACCAGACAGCCACGGCUAACUACGUGCCAGCAGCCGCGGUAAUACGUAGGUGGAAAGCGUUAUCCGGAUUUAUGGGGCGUAAAGGGAACGCAGGCGGUCUUUUAAGUCUGAUGUGAACGCCUUCGGCUUAACCGGAGUAGUGCAUUGGAAACUGGGAGACUUGAGUGCAGAAGAGGAGAGUGUAACUCCAUGUGUAGCGGUGAAAUGCGUAGAUAUAUGGAAGAACACCAGGGGCGAAAGCGGCUCUCUGGUCUGUAACUGACGCUGAGGUUCGAAAGCGUGGGUAGCAAACAGGAUUAGAUACCCGAGUAGUC
Molecule: ribosomal RNA, 465 nt
Filed under: uncultured bacterium
Lineage: Bacteria
Description: partial 16S ribosomal RNA
Rfam family: Bacterial small subunit ribosomal RNA
Source: RNAcentral